Molecule: ribosomal RNA, 1022 nt
Filed under: Dryadomyces quercivorus
Lineage: Eukaryota; Fungi; Ascomycota; Sordariomycetes; Ophiostomatales; Ophiostomataceae
Description: SSU rRNA
Rfam family: Eukaryotic small subunit ribosomal RNA
Source: RNAcentral
AUUAUACCGCGAACUGCGAAUGGCUCAUUAAAUCAGUUAUCGUUUAUUUGAUAGUACCUUACUACUUGGAUAACCGUGGUAAUUCUAGAGCUAAUACAUGCUGAAAACCCCGACUUCGGAAGGGAUGUAUUUAUUAGAUUAAAAACCAAUGCCCUUCGGGGCUCACUGGUGAUUCAUAAUAACUUCUCGAAUCGCACGGCCUUGCGCCGGCGAUGGUUCAUUCAAAUUUCUGCCCUAUCAACUUUCGACGGCUGGGUCUUGGCCAGCCAUGGUGACAACGGGUAACGGAGGGUUAGGGCUCGACCCCGGAGAAGGAGCCUGAGAAACGGCUACUACAUCCAAGGAAGGCAGCAGGCGCGCAAAUUACCCAAUCCCGACACGGGGAGGUAGUGACAAUAAAUACUGAUACAGGGCUCUUUUGGGUCUUGUAAUUGGAAUGAGUACAAUUUAAUUCCCUUAACGAGGAACAAUUGGAGGGCAAGUCUGGUGCCAGCAGCCGCGGUAAUUCCAGCUCCAAUAGCGUAUAUUAAAGUUGUUGCAGUUAAAAAGCUCGUAGUUGAACCUUGGGCCUGGCUGGCCGGUCCGCCUCACCGCGUGCACUGGUCCGGCCGGGUCUUUCCCUCUGGGGAGCCGCAUGCCCUUCACUGGGUGUGUCGGGGAACCAGGACUUUUACUUUGAAAAAAUUAGAGUGUUCAAAGCAGGCUUAUGCUCGGAUACAUUAGCAUGGAAUAAUAGAAUAGGACGUGCGGUUCUAUUUUGUUGGUUUCUAGGACCGCCGUAAUGAUUAAUAGGGACAGUCGGGGGCAUCAGUAUUCAAUUGUCAGAGGUGAAAUUCUUGGAUUUAUUGAAGACUAACUACUGCGAAAGCAUUUGCCAAGGAUGUUUUCAUUAAUCAGGAACGAAAGUUAGGGGAUCGAAGACGAUCAGAUACCGUCGUAGUCUUAACCAUAAACUAUGCCGACUAGGGAUCGGACGAUGUUAUUUUUUGACUCGUUCGGCACCUUACACGAAAGUACAAGUU